Triticum dicoccoides is the source of this 3402-nucleotide long non-coding RNA. RefSeq lists it as uncharacterized. The record is from RefSeq and is a predicted model, not a curated record. The transcript is spliced from 11 exons. NCBI's taxonomy places the organism in Eukaryota, Viridiplantae, Streptophyta, Magnoliopsida, Poales, Poaceae.
GGACUGGUCGAGUCCCACGCUCCCUUUCCUGCGAGCUCUUCUUCCUCGUGGUCUUCCAUCCUGCCGCCAGCCGCCGCCUACUGCUUCUCCCGCUGGCCGCUGCCGGAUCUCCUCUCGCCCCACUACUACCUUCUUUUCCCCCAUCAUCGGCCGUCUCCAGGUCUCCUUCACCACCGGCACCUCCUUCUCCCCAUGGCCCACUGCCCCGCCAACUCCUCCGCCGCCGGUCCACCUUCUACGCGUGCUGCGCCGCAGGCUUCACCGAUUCUCCACUCCCUCGUGAGAUUGAUGCCUCUGCCCUCUGCCUUCUCACCCCUCCUCCACCCUAAAGCUAUGCCUACUGCAGCAAGGCAGAGAGGUCCAUCCCCCAAACCAGCAAAAUGUGGGGGCUGAUGAGAUUUGCUACUGGUACGUAGAUCGGGACGGCUGAUCAAUGGUCGAGAUUCAUAAUUGGUGCCAUGCCAACAGAGAUAUUUGCAGCAUGAGGAUGGAUAUUGAUCAGUCCUACCAUACCCCUGCAAAUGAGGCUUUGCAUGCUGGGGGUUCUUGUUGGAUAUCCACCAAGAGAACCGACAAUUUGGAAAAAGUAAGGAGCUCUGUUCGGUCUCAGGAUGGUUUGCGUGCAUGAGGUCUUGGAACAGUGGCAUCAGACAAUGAUUAAUAGCAGUAAGAUUUUUGAACCAUUGCCGAAGCUGAGGGUGUUGUCUUAUUGUGUAAUGGAUAACCCUCAUUUAGAUCUGGAGUGAGGUGAUAGGAAUAGUAAGCAACAGUAGGAAACCAACGCAAUCUCUUACUAUAUAGUUGUGUGAAGAUGCUCAUCUAUCCUUCAGCAACUGCAAAUUUCUUAAUCCGAUACAAGAACCAGGUCAUAAGCAUUAGUGACACCAUUUAAUUAAGCAAAUGAUCAUGUUUGUACCUUUCAGCUGAGCCAAAGAUUCUAAUAUAUUUCUGUUUAGAAUAGGAAAUGAUUUUUAUGCGAGAAACUGCUUUUUGUAGAAAAAAACUUCUGUUAGCAACUAAAUCGAUUUUUUUUUUUGCUCGAACAUAAUAAAUCGUAUUAAGAUUGCAUUGCAGACCAUAUGCUCCAUUGCCUAUUGUUAGUGCUUUCAGAAGUACCCCCAGUCUCAUGCUUUUAUGUAGUACAUUGGCUCUACAAUCUACACUGGCUCACUAGCGAGCUGGAAAUGUUUUGUGUAAAUAUAAUGUAGCCUUUGGCUAUUUCUCAAGCAUCAGAAGUGCCAUAGGAUAGAUGGAUUGAUAGCCGAAGUUUACUGACGAUGUAGUCCUGGAUCAUGGUGAACUUGUGCUGCCAUUUUGGCUGGAUGUUAUGUGUGCGCACCUGCAUAUCCAAAACAUUAACGUGUGCAUCAAAGGCGCUCGCUCGCGCGUGCCAUGUCAUCAGGUCGAUCGGGUGUGAGGGUUGGCGAGGAGAAAAAACAGAUCGAAAAAAAGAAGAUGGUCGAUUGGGCAGCGGCCAGAUAACGCCUCCACUGCUUUCUCUUCCCCACAAAGCAAACCCUCACCUCCCAGGUUCACACGCAACCUCCGCUCGUCUCCUUGUUUCUCUCCUCCGCCUCUUCCUCCGGGUGUACUUGCGGCUGCAGCGGGAUGGGAGUAAAGGGGGCGAGCAGGAUGGGUGGCCAGCUGAUUUCUUCGAAGGAUCUGGAGCCCAGCGGAGGACCGGGAGUGGGGGCGAUGGCCAGGCCUGGUGGUGACGGGACGAUUUAGUGGUCGGAGGCGCUACAUCGGAUGCCAGUCAGUCUGCAACGACUCCAGCGCCAGUGUGCCCCUUGGCACCUCCCGCGCCAAGGUUGGAGGGCCGGGUCUCCUCAGAAUCAUUUGAGAUCGUCACACCAGUUUCUUCUAAAGCUGUAUUUGAAGCUAAAAGGAUGGUGCUUCUGUUCUUUGAUUGAUAUUUUAUCCCAGCAUCAUCGGAAACUAACUACUUGAUAUUUUGGGAAGAGAUGUGAAAUGCUCAACUUAGGAGGGAGCAUAGACAAGGAAUCUGAAGUUGGAAAGAAACAACUGGAUAUCAAAGCAAAAGGAUCACGUCUCCUCUUAGAAAUCAGCUAACUAUUCUAAUUCUGGAGACUCUUAUGGCCCUAGAUCUGCCAGGCAGUUGCAAUUGUUGCUUUAGUCAAACUAAAAAAUUGUUAACUUUGCAGUGUAAGCGGACCCUUUAGCAGGAGAGCAACACAACUGCUAGCUUCCCUUACAGGAGAUGGAUACGAAGUCCGUGGAGGGUCAGAAUACAAAGCUCUACUAGGUGAUGGAGCUGGAGAAGUUGAGUACUUCCAGUCUCUUGACGAACGAAUCAUUAAAUGAAGGGAGUUUCUGAUCCUAUUAAAUGUCAUUGCGGACUGGAGUACAAUGUAGAACUAGGCAGGGAUGCCAUGGGUGCAAGAUGAACUCAUUAUAUAGAUGACCACAGGUCCAGUGUGUUUAAAGUAUGCAUAUGUGCGGCUGCCGUAUGUACAGCUUGACAACUCCAUAUAGAGAAACUGGAUAAAGUGCCAGUGCCGCAGGAGCAAAACAGCGCCCCAGAUGAAACCAACACGGAUGACGAUUAACUUCUCUGACCUUAAUCACAUCAAUGAGUGAACUUUCUUGUAAUCCUUUUUCCUGACACUAUAAGGCAAUGGCUUAGCCUGAUAUUUUGGUAGUUGUGUAAGUUGAAACAUGAUGCUAAGCCGAACAAUUUAUUGUCCUUUUUUCGCAUGAUAUCACAUUUUGGUAGUUGUGAAGCCUAAACCAUGAUGCUUUUGCUACUGCUGUAGUCCCUAAUGAAAUUGUGAGAUAAUGUAGUUAAGCUAAGUUUCUUUUGUUUCAAUAAAACAGAUGCUGGUAGUUGCAUAAGUUGAACCAUGAUGCUGGUUAAGCUAAUCUCAUUGAUUGCACUCCCAAAAAUCACAGGAGCCAUUCAGAAAAAGAUUAGUAGAAUUCUUUACUGUUGAAAUUUCUGAGGGGAUUUAUGGAAGAUCACAGGACGAUAUUUCGGGAGUCUAAUGAUCACAGUGCAUUUGAUAUUGAUGGCUUGGGAAAUCAUAUGGCGAUAGGGUCUGAUGAUGUCUGAUGAAGGAAUAGUCACAAGCAGAGAUGGCCUAAAGGCAUCUUGGAUACAACUGUUCUUUUAGUAUGCCAUUGACGGACAUAAGUCGAUGUUUUCAGUCAGGAUGAGCUUUGAUUCUAAAUGAUAUUAGAUAUGCACUCAUGUACUUUCUACAUGAUUUUUCUUUGGUUUAUUCAGUCUCUUGGGGUGCUCAUAGAAGUAGGGUUGCGUAUGUUCAUACGCUUGUUGUGAGGGUCUUCGUCUGUAUAAGUGUUUCUAAAUAGACUUAAGUUUAUUAAAUUCCAUAUAGGUAAUCCUUAUUAUUGAAUAAUAGUAUUAUUUGAAAGGGUUCA